RNAcentral lists this ribosomal RNA (253 nucleotides) under uncultured bacterium. RNAcentral's name for it is "partial 16S ribosomal RNA". It matches the Rfam family "Bacterial small subunit ribosomal RNA", at positions 524 to 776 of the family's 1533-position model. The record is from RNAcentral.
UACAGAGGGGGCAAGCGUUGUUCGGAAUUACUGGGCGUAAAGCGCGCGUAGGCGGUUUGGUAAGUCGGAUGUGAAAUCCCGAGGCUCAACCUCGGGACUGCACCCGAUACUGCCCGACUAGAGGUAGGUAGGGGAGAUCGGAAUUCCUGGUGUAGCGGUGAAAUGCGCAGAUAUCAGGAGGAACACCGGUGGCGAAGGCGGAUCUCUGGGCCUUACCUGACGCUGAGGCGCGAAAGCUAGGGGAGCAAACAGG